This 1206-nucleotide ribosomal RNA is filed under the name Triticum aestivum (bread wheat). RNAcentral's name for it is "partial small subunit ribosomal RNA". The record is from RNAcentral. Lineage: Eukaryota; Viridiplantae; Streptophyta; Magnoliopsida; Poales; Poaceae.
AUGGCGCUCAGCACCUGUAUCCUCCCUUCGUUCUCCCCGCAGGCCGCCGUCCUACGCCGUACGUCCACCGUCGCCAACGCCGCCGCAGCCCGGAUCGGCGGCUUCCUGUCCAGCAAGCCCUACGCGCCGCCGCCCUGGGCGUCGGGCCUCUCCCACGCCCCGUCCCACACCUUCUCCCUCGGCCACUUCCCGACCCCGAUCCACAGGUGGAGCCUGCCCGACCUGCCCAAGGGCACGGAGGUGUGGAUCAAGCGGGACGACCUCGCCGGCAUGCAGCUGAGCGGCAACAAGGCGCGGAAGCUCGAGUUCCUCGUGGCGGACGCCGCCGCGCGGGGCGCCGACUGCGUCGUCACCGCCGGCGGCAUCCAGAGCAACCACUGCCGGGCGACCGCCGUGGCCGCCAAGUACGCCGGCCUCGACUCCUAUCUGAUACUCUGCACCUCCAGGCUCCUCGUGGACCAGGACCCCGGUCUCGUCGGCAACCUGCUCGUCGAGAGGCUGCUGGGCGCGCACGUCGACCUGGUCUCGCAGAGAGAAUUUUUGAAGUUCGGGAGCGUGGCUCUGACUGAACUGCUGAAGAAGAGGCUCCUGGAAGAAGGCCGGCGGCCGUACGUGAUCCCUGCCGGCGGAUCAAACGCACUGGGGAAUUGGGGAUACAUCGAAGCAGUCAGGGAGAUUGAGCAGCAAAUUCAGUUAUCCGGGGGCGAUGUUCAGUUCAACGACAUUGUCGUCGCGUGCGGCAGCGGCGGGACCGUCGCCGGCCUCGCUUUGGGGUCGCAGCUGAGUGGCCUGAAGGCCAAAGUCCACGCCUUCUCUGUCUGCUAUGGCCCUAAAUACUUCUAUGACUGUGUUCAGGGUCUGAUCGAUGAGCUUCAGUCUGGUCUAAACUCACAUGAUAUAGUCAGCAUUGAAGAUGCCAAGGGCUUGGGUUAUGCCAAGAGCACGGGUGAUGAACUUAGAUUUGUGAAGGAUGUCGCUGCGGCAACAGGCAUCGUGCUCGAUCCGGUCUACACCGGGAAGGUGGCAUACUGUAUGGUGAAGAACAUGUCAGAUAAUCCAGGCAGGUGGGAAGGGCGAAGGGUCCUCUUUGUGCACACCGGUGGUCUCCUUGGGUUGUAUGAUAAGGUGGAUCAGUUGUCGUCUUUGGCCGGGGGCUGGCGCAGAAUGGACCUUGAAGAACCUGUGCUCCAUGCAAAUUUCAACUAG